RNAcentral lists this ribosomal RNA (165 nucleotides) under Escherichia coli. Its description in RNAcentral is "partial 16S ribosomal RNA". It matches the Rfam family "Bacterial small subunit ribosomal RNA", at positions 1 to 161 of the family's 1533-position model. The record is from RNAcentral. RNAcentral also lists the same sequence under 2 other names. Lineage: Bacteria; Pseudomonadati; Pseudomonadota; Gammaproteobacteria; Enterobacterales; Enterobacteriaceae.
AAAUUGAAGAGUUUGAUCAUGGCUCAGAUUGAACGCUGGCGGCAGGCCUAACACAUGCAAGUCGAGCGGUAGCACAGAGAGCUUGCUCUCGGGUGACGAGCGGCGGACGGGUGAGUAAUGUCUGGGAAACUGCCUGAUGGAGGGGGAUAACUACUGGAAACGGUA